AGUCUAGCCUGCCCGUUGAAGAUUUGAAAGGCCGCGGUAUUUUGCCCGUGCGAAGGUAGCAUAAUCAUUAGUCUUUUAAUUGAAGGCUUGUAUGAAGGGUUGGACGAGAAAUAAGCUGUCUUUAUUGAAAAAAUAGAAUUUAACUUUUAAGUGAGAGGGCUUAAAUGUUCUAAGGGGACGAUAAGACCCUAUAAAGUUUGACAUUUUAUUCAUUAAAAAAUAAAAUAAAUAAUUAAUUUUUAUUAGUGAGAUAAUGUUUUGUUGGGGCGAUUAGAAUAUAAAAAAUUUAACUGUUUUAUAUUAAUACAAAGUUGUUUGAGUGUUUUGAUCCUUAAUAAAGGUACUAGAGUAAAUUACUUUAGGGAUAACAGCGUAAUUUUUUUUGAGAGUUCUUAUCGACAAAAAAGUUUGCGACCUCGAUGUUGAAUUAAAGAAUUCUUUAUAGCGCAGAAGUUAUAAAAGAAGGUCUGUUCGACCUUUAAAUCUUUACAU
This 492-nucleotide ribosomal RNA is filed under the name Engaeus quadrimanus. Its description in RNAcentral is "partial 16S ribosomal RNA". It matches the Rfam family "Bacterial large subunit ribosomal RNA", at positions 1851 to 2601 of the family's 2925-position model. Lineage: Eukaryota; Metazoa; Arthropoda; Malacostraca; Decapoda; Parastacidae. The record is from RNAcentral.